AAGUCGUAACAAGGUAACCGUAGGUGAACCUGCGGUUGGAUCAUUAAAAAAAAAUUGGUUCUUCCCUUAAAAAAGGUUGAACGUCGGUGCUCCUUUAACAAGGAGCUAGACUACUCCAAUUUUUUGUGAACUUGUAAACCAAAAAAAAGAAAAAUGUUUUUGAUCUAGUUGUGAAAAAGAUUUGGGUUAGUUUACUGCCCAAGUUUUUUUCCCUUCUCUUGAAGAAAUUAUUUUUUAAUUAACCCUGAAGAAUUAAACUUGUCUUUACCGUUUUUUUAUAAAUAUAAUUAAUAAACAACUUUUGACAACGGAUCUCUAGGCUCUC
This 325-nucleotide unclassified non-coding RNA is filed under the name fungal sp. Its description in RNAcentral is "partial internal transcribed spacer region". The stretch from base 1 to 46 matches the Rfam family "Eukaryotic small subunit ribosomal RNA", at positions 1786 to 1831 of the family's 1831-position model. The record is from RNAcentral. Lineage: Eukaryota; Fungi.